GGAGGGAUGGCCGAGUCUGGCUAAAGGCGGCAGUCUUGAAAACUGCUGUGGCGUAAGCCACCGUGGGUUCGAAUCCUACUCCCUCCG
Molecule: transfer RNA, 87 nt
Filed under: Flexistipes sinusarabici DSM 4947
Lineage: Bacteria; Pseudomonadati; Deferribacterota; Deferribacteres; Deferribacterales; Flexistipitaceae
Rfam family: tRNA
About the family: Transfer RNA (tRNA) molecules are approximately 80 nucleotides in length.
Source: Rfam by way of RNAcentral